AGUAAAGUCAGCUAAUUAAGCUCUUGGGCCCAUACCCCAAAAAUGUUGGUUUAACCCUUCCUUUACUA
RNAcentral lists this transfer RNA (68 nucleotides) under Podarcis tiliguerta. Its description in RNAcentral is "tRNA-Met". The record is from RNAcentral. Lineage: Eukaryota; Metazoa; Chordata; Lepidosauria; Squamata; Lacertidae.